RNAcentral lists this ribosomal RNA (253 nucleotides) under uncultured bacterium. RNAcentral's name for it is "partial 16S ribosomal RNA". It matches the Rfam family "Bacterial small subunit ribosomal RNA", at positions 524 to 776 of the family's 1533-position model. The record is from RNAcentral.
UACAGAGGGGGCAAGCGUUGUUCGGAAUUACUGGGCGUAAAGGGCGCGUAGGCGGCCGACUAAGUCAGACGUGAAAUCCCAUGGCUCAACCAUGGAACUGCGUCUGAUACUGGAUGGCUUGAGUUCGGGAGAGGGAAGUGGAAUUCCAGGUGUAGCGGUGAAAUGCGUAGAUAUCUGGAGGAACACCGGUGGCGAAGGCGGCUUCCUGGGCCGACACUGACGCUGAGGCGCGAAAGCCAGGGGAGCAAACGGG